RNAcentral lists this ribosomal RNA (225 nucleotides) under uncultured prokaryote. RNAcentral's name for it is "partial 16S ribosomal RNA". It matches the Rfam family "Bacterial small subunit ribosomal RNA", at positions 524 to 748 of the family's 1533-position model. The record is from RNAcentral.
UACAGAGGGGGCAAGCGUUAUUCGGAAUUAUUGGGCGUAAAGGGCGCGUAGGCGGCUUGGCAAGUGGAAGGUGAAAUCCCUCGGCUUAACCGAGGAACUGCCCUCCAAACUGCUUUGCUUGAGGCCGGGAGAGGCGAGUGGAAUUCCCAGUGUAGCGGUGAAAUGCGUAGAUAUCAGGAGGAACACCAAUUGCGAAGGCAGCUCGCUGGGACGUAACUGACGCUG